This 459-nucleotide ribosomal RNA is filed under the name uncultured bacterium. Its description in RNAcentral is "partial 16S ribosomal RNA". It matches the Rfam family "Bacterial small subunit ribosomal RNA", at positions 338 to 795 of the family's 1533-position model. The record is from RNAcentral.
CCUACGGGUGGCAGCAGUGAGGAAUAUUGGUCAAUGGGCGCGAGCCUGAACCAGCCAAGUCGCGUGAGGGAAGACGGUCCUAUGGAUUGUAAACCUCUUUUGUCGGGGAGCAAAAGACGCCACGCGUGGCGUUCCGAGAGUACCCGAAGAAAAAGCAUCGGCUAACUCCGUGCCAGCAGCCGCGGUAAUACGGAGGAUGCGGGCGUUAUCCGGAUUUAUUGGGUUUAAAGGGUGCGCAGGCGGAAGAUCAAGUCAGCGGUAAAAUUGAGAGGCUCAACCUCUUCGAGCCGUUGAAACUGGUUUGCUUGAGUGUGUGUGAAGUAUGCGGAAUGAGUGGUGUAGCGGUGAAAUGCAUAGAUAUCACGCAGAACUCCGAUUGCGAAGGCAGCAUACCGGCGCUCAACUGACGCUGAUGCACGAAAGUGUGGGGAUCGAACAGGAUUAGAUACCCCUGUAGUC